This 386-nucleotide unclassified non-coding RNA is filed under the name fungal sp. Its description in RNAcentral is "partial internal transcribed spacer region". The stretch from base 1 to 46 matches the Rfam family "Eukaryotic small subunit ribosomal RNA", at positions 1786 to 1831 of the family's 1831-position model. The record is from RNAcentral. Lineage: Eukaryota; Fungi.
AAGUCGUAACAAGGUCUCCGUAGGUGAACCUGCGGAAGGAUCAUUAACACGUUAUCCAUACGUUAACCAACGCGAAUUGUUUUCACCCUCCCUUCACGGAGAAUGAGCGGGGUUGGUAGAGGUAUUAAAAGGGAUUGCUUCGGCAGUCUGCCUCUACUGACUAUUUUAUCAUAACAGAAAUGUUUGAUUUGACGCUGUAUCUUUUGUGGAGAUUAAUCUCUUCUGGCGCUCUCCUUUUAUGAGAGUCAGUCGAGAACUAUAUUAACUUAUUUCACCUUUUGCUAGUAGACUUUUAUAUGUUGGGUACUAUGCUUUUGCGUUUUGCUCACACGUUUAUUAUUUGAACGUUAAAAUUACAACUCUUAGCAAUGGAUAUCUUGGUUCUC